CUCUGGCCAAGUUGAACAUGGGGAGGGUUACACUGAAAGAUUGGGAUGUAACUGGACCCCAUGUGCUAAAAAGGAUGAUAAAGGAGUUGUUUGUCCCUUUCUAACAGGUACAACAAAACAGGAGAGUGAGGGAGACGUCAUCCAAAGAGCUCUCCACACAAUCCCCCAGAAGUGCCAGGCUUUGCAGCAAUUUUGCACAGCUGGAAUUGCAGGUUGUGAUGAAGACUGUCCUUGCAAGAAAAACAAUACGCUAAGCCCGCGCACAUCAAGAGCGCAAAGGUUUGAUGUCCCAGCUGGCAACUGUUGGCUAAUUAGCCUCUGUUCUAGUUUGGCUUGUUGCAGCUACACGACUCAUCAGCGGCUAAUGAACAGUGUUUGUCCGUCUGCAGCCUCUGAAGGGUGCUGAGAGCCGUGGUGGACAACACAAGGAGAGUGUAGUGGCUCCAGCAGUGACCAAAUGUUCACAAAGUGGGUUUUCGAUCCGGAGAGUGAACAGCUGUUUAUCUCAGUUCUACAAAAAGGAUGUGUCUGAAAUGCAGAUUAUGUUGGUACAAAUGAAAUGAUAAUGUGACUUCAUUAAAAGCUGUAAUCACAUUACUUUUCCUGAAAUGUGACAACAAACUAUUUUCAUUAUACUUUUAAACUUAUUUUAAAUGAUUAAAUAUUUUUUUUUUGAUAUUAA
Molecule: long non-coding RNA, 682 nt
Organism: Thunnus maccoyii (southern bluefin tuna)
Lineage: Eukaryota; Metazoa; Chordata; Actinopteri; Scombriformes; Scombridae
Exons: 2
Source: RefSeq, a predicted model, not a curated record